Mirounga angustirostris (Northern elephant seal) is the source of this 1135-nucleotide long non-coding RNA. RefSeq lists it as uncharacterized. The transcript is spliced from 3 exons. NCBI's taxonomy places the organism in Eukaryota, Metazoa, Chordata, Mammalia, Carnivora, Phocidae. The record is from RefSeq and is a predicted model, not a curated record.
AGCUGGAACAGGACAAAAGAGCGAGAGAGUCACUGCCGGGGGUGAUCCGGAUGUAGGACCUGCUUCAAGGACAAGGACAAGGACAGGCGGGAGCAGUGUAUUUGUGGCCCCGAGCCAGCAGAGAGAGAGAGAGAGCGCACACCCACACACACACGUAGAUAGGCAGGACGGAGCCGAGACGGGAAAGCAUCUCAUCGCCUUGUUGGGAUAAAGAGGUGGAGACACCAAACUAUGAAAGGACAGAGUCUUCUGGGGAGGAAAGCAGCUGCCCAGCAUCAACACGGCGUGGUUUCUGUGACGGCCACGCUGGGCGAGGCGCUGUAGCCUCCCCGUGGCCUUGGGACCGUGCAAACGUGUGAAGCCACACCCCUGGGCUCUCAAUCAGGAGCCUUCCGUUACACCCCGAUGCAGCUGGAUGACCAGGACCUGGCUCUGCUGAACUAUACAUGCUGGUCUUUCGAUACACGGUUUCUGAGACAAAGUAAAUUUUUAGCAAGCAGACCCACUCCUGGCAGAGGCAGCAGAGUUCUAACAAGAGCAAGAUACAGGGUCACGAAAUCUCCCCAGGCAGAGGUACGAUGGGAAGAGGAAAAGACAUAAACACCUGGGACAAAAGCCCAAGGGGAUGGAAGGAACUUCUGUCACUCCUUAUAAGAAGUCCUUGGAAUACGGAAAAGUCUACCGGGAAUAUUCUCUAUGUGAAAUAUAUCUGCUAUCACUAUUAAUAUGCAAAAUUCCAUUUACUAAGUCUUAAUAUACUAUUAUCAUUCAACUUUUUCCUUCCGGCUCUCAGGGUUAUCAAAAAUCUGGGUAUCAGAUUUUUUUUUAUCACAGUUGGAAGGGACGAGAGACAGGAUGCAUACCCAUCAGUGGAGCCCAUCAGGCAGUGCAUUUACACAGAGGACGAAACUGAGGCCCAGGGAGGACCCCUGGCACUAAUGACCAACACGGUAGCCAGAGACUCCAUCUCCUGAUGCCCAGGCCAGGCCACUCUCUCCCUCACUCAGGACGCAGUGAGAAACGAAUCCACAGUGCAUCUAAAAACUCUUGACUUCUUUCCCAAAGCCUUGCCAGCGGGACGCGCCUAGGGGAGAUGCGUGGGGCCAGGAGCCCCGCCUCCAUGUCAGUCACCUUG